This 253-nucleotide ribosomal RNA is filed under the name uncultured bacterium. Its description in RNAcentral is "partial 16S ribosomal RNA". It matches the Rfam family "Bacterial small subunit ribosomal RNA", at positions 524 to 776 of the family's 1533-position model. The record is from RNAcentral.
UACGUAGGGGGCAAGCGUUGUCCGGAAUCAUUGGGCGUAAAGCGCGUGUAGGCGGCCCGAUAAGUCCGCUGUGAAAGUCCAGGGCUCAACCCUGGGAUGCCGGUGGAUACUGUCUGGCUUGAGGCCGGGAGAGGGUAGCGGAAUUCCCAGUGUAGCGGUGAAAUGCGUAGAUAUUGGGAGGAACACCAGUGGCGAAGGCGGCUACCUGGACCGGUUCUGACGCUGAGGCGCGAAAGCGUGGGUAGCAAACAGG